GGGGAGCAAUCCCCUUAGUAAAGUGGCGGACGGGUGCGUAACACGUGGGUAAUCUACCUUCCGGCGGGGGACAACAGUCCGAAAGGAUUGCUAAUACCGCAUACGUCAGCGAGGUCUCCGGACUUCGUUGGGAAAGAUGGCCUCUCCUUGGAAGCUGUCACCGGAAGAUGAGCCUGCGUCCCAUCAGCUAGUUGGCGAGGUAAUGGCUCACCAAGGCUUAGACGGGUAGCUGGUCUGAGAGGAUGAUCAGCCACACUGGGACUGCGACACGGCCCAGACUCCUACGGGAGGCAGCAGUGGGGAAUAUUGGGCAAUGGGCGAAAGCCUGACCCAGCCACGCCGCGUGAGUGAUGAAGGCCUUCGGGUCGUAAAGCUCUGUGGGGAGGGACGAAUAAGUGCCGUACUAACACUACGGUGCCCUGACGGUACCUCCUUAGCAAGCACCGGCUAACCAUGUGCCAGCAGCCGCGGUAAUACAUGGGGUGCAAACGUUGCUCGGAAUUAUUGGGCGUAAAGCGCGCGUAGGCGGUUACUCAAGUCGGAUGUGAAAGCCCUCGGCUUAACUGAGGAAGUGCACCCGAAACUGAGUAGCUAGAGUACUAAAGAGGGUCGCGGAAUUCCCGGUGUAGAGGUGAAAUUCGUAGAUAUCGGGAGGAACACCGGUGGCGAAGGCGGCGACCUGGGUAGAUACUGACGCUGAGGCGCGAAAGCGUGGGGAGCAAACAGGAUUAGAUACCCUGGUAGUCCACGCCGUAAACGAUGGGUGCUAGAUGUUUCUGGUAUUGACCCCGGAGGCGUCGUAGCUAACGCGUUAAGCACCCCGCCUGGGGAGUACGGCCGCAAGGCU
RNAcentral lists this ribosomal RNA (847 nucleotides) under uncultured delta proteobacterium. Its description in RNAcentral is "bacterial SSU rRNA". It matches the Rfam family "Bacterial small subunit ribosomal RNA", at positions 74 to 895 of the family's 1533-position model. Lineage: Bacteria; Deltaproteobacteria. The record is from RNAcentral.